This 410-nucleotide ribosomal RNA is filed under the name Ixodes tropicalis. RNAcentral describes it as "partial large subunit ribosomal RNA". The record is from RNAcentral. Lineage: Eukaryota; Metazoa; Arthropoda; Arachnida; Ixodida; Ixodidae.
AUUUUGACUAUACGAAGGUAUUGAAAUAAGGCUUUAAAUGAGUGCUAAGAGAAUGGUUUAACAAUUAUUAACUUUCUUUAAUUAAAAAAUUAAAUUUAAUUUUUUAUGUGAAGAAGCAAAAAUGAAAAUUAGGGACAAGAAGACCCUAUGAAUUUUAACUUAGGAAUAUUAAUUUUUUAAAAAUUUGUUAAGUUUGGUUGGGGCGAUAAAGAAAGAAUAUGUAUCUUUAAAAAAGCUUAGAAGUUUGUUCCGUUUAUAGCGAUUAUUUGAAAAAAAUACUCUAGGGAUAACAGCGUAAUAAUUUUGGAUAGUUCUUAUAGAUAAAAUAGUUUGCGACCUCGAUGUUGGAUUAGGAUUCUUAUUUGGCGAAGAAGUUAAAAUAAAGAAGUUUGUUCAACUUUUAAAUUCCU